UGCAGUCGAGCGAAUGGAUUAAGAGCUUGCUCUUAUGAAGUUAGCGGCGGACGGGUGAGUAACACGUGGGUAACCUGCCCAUAAGACUGGGAUAACUCCGGGAAACCGGGGCUAAUACCGGAUAACAUUUUGAACCGCAUGGUUCGAAAUUGAAAGGCGGCUUCGGCUGUCACUUAUGGAUGGACCCGCGUCGCAUUAGCUAGUUGGUGAGGUAACGGCUCACCAAGGCGACGAUGCGUAGCCGACCUGAGAGGGUGAUCGGCCACACUGGGACUGAGACACGGCCCAGACUCCUACGGGAGGCAGCAGUAGGGAAUCUUCCGCAAUGGACGAAAGUCUGACGGAGCAACGCCGCGUGAGUGAUGAAGGCUUUCGGGUCGUAAAACUCUGUUGUUAGGGAAGAACAAGUGCUAGUUGAAUAAGCUGGCACCUUGACGGUACCUAACCAGAAAGCCACGGCUAACUACGUGCCACCAGCCGCGGUAAUACGUAGGUGGCAAGCGUUAUCCGGAAUUAUUGGGCGUAAAGCGCGCGCAGGUGGUUUCUUAAGUCUGAUGUGAAAGCCCACGGCUCAACCGUGCAGGGUCAUUGGAAACUGGGAGACUUGAGUGCAGAAGAGGAAAGUGGAAUUCCAUGUGUAGCGGUGAAAUGCGUAGAGAUAUGGAGGAACACCAGUGGCGAAGGCGACUUUCUGGUCUGUAACUGACACUGAGGCGCGAAAGCGUGGGGAGCAAA
Molecule: ribosomal RNA, 735 nt
Filed under: Bacillus subtilis
Lineage: Bacteria; Bacillati; Bacillota; Bacilli; Caryophanales; Bacillaceae
Description: bacterial SSU rRNA
Rfam family: Bacterial small subunit ribosomal RNA
Source: RNAcentral